UGGGGAAUAUUGGACAAUGGGCGCAAGCCUGAUCCAGCCAUGCCGCGUGAGUGAUGACGGCCCUAGGGUUGUAAAGCUCUUUUGCUCGGGAAGAUAAUGACUGUACCGAGAGAAUAAGCCCCGGCUAACUUCGUGCCAGCAGCCGCGGUAAUACGAAGGGGGCUAGCGUUGUUCGGAAUCACUGGGCGUAAAGCGCACGUAGGCGGACGCUUAAGUCAGAGGUGAAAUCCUGAGGCUCAACCUCAGAACUGCCUUUGAUACUGGGUGUCUCGAGUUCGGGAGAGGUGAGUGGAACUGCGAGUGUAGAGGUGAAAUUCGUAGAUAUUCGCAAGAACACCAGUGGCGAAGGCGGCUCACUGGCCCGAUACUGACGCUGAGGUGCGAAAGCGUGGGGAGCAAACAGG
RNAcentral lists this ribosomal RNA (404 nucleotides) under uncultured bacterium. RNAcentral describes it as "bacterial SSU rRNA". It matches the Rfam family "Bacterial small subunit ribosomal RNA", at positions 355 to 776 of the family's 1533-position model. The record is from RNAcentral.